This is a long non-coding RNA of Acanthochromis polyacanthus (spiny chromis), 614 nucleotides long. RefSeq lists it as uncharacterized. The transcript has 2 exons. Lineage: Eukaryota; Metazoa; Chordata; Actinopteri; Pomacentridae. The record is from RefSeq and is a predicted model, not a curated record.
AUCUGUGGACACAAAUAGAAGCUGAGCGCUCUGCUUUCAGGCUUCAUCCACCUCCUGUCUCCUGAGAGUCGAUGUCUGGUCGUCCUGUGGGUCAAAUUAACCGAAUUAAAGUUUGAAAAUGUGGGGAAAAAAGAAUUUCCACAGUGAAACUUCUGAUGUCCACAUUUGCAACAUUUUUGGGAAAUUUUUGGUGGAAAAAAGGCUUGUACCUUUUCCUGCCGUCUGAUUGGUCGGCCGCUGACACACCACCUGGAAACAUCAAACAAAGCAAACAAACAAACUUCCUGUCAGAUGACCGAGCAGACGCCAUGUGACCUCUGACUGUUCACCUUCACUUCCUGCUUUGACCCACAGACAGACUAUUGAUUUCUAAUAUAUGAUUUAUAAUCCUGAAGCAUCUUAUCGUAUAUUUACCUGUAAAAAUUAUUUCAACACACACAGUAACAGUAAUAAUUUACUGAUUUAGACAAAGCUUUAGGUUGCAAACAUCAUUUAAAGGGUUGGCAGAAUAACGUUGGAUCAACUUAAUAUAAUGUCUGAAUUAAACUAAACUUUCUGUGUUUGUUGAUUUAAAACUGAAUGAAAUAACGUCAUUAAAUCCACUUGAAAACUUC